GGGAAUCCGGUCGAAAUCCGGGACUGUCGCGCAACGGUGAGGCAUCACGCCAAGUCCGAAAACC
This 64-nucleotide non-coding RNA is filed under the name Propionibacterium sp. Lineage: Bacteria; Bacillati; Actinomycetota; Actinomycetes; Propionibacteriales; Propionibacteriaceae. The record is from RNAcentral.